ACGGCGAGCUCAACUUCUUCGACGUCUCUGACUUCCUUGCCGCAUACUUGGCAGGCGCGGACUACAACAG
Molecule: transfer RNA, 70 nt
Filed under: Chroodactylon ornatum
Lineage: Eukaryota; Rhodophyta; Stylonematophyceae; Stylonematales; Stylonemataceae
Source: RNAcentral